RNAcentral lists this ribosomal RNA (468 nucleotides) under uncultured bacterium. RNAcentral's name for it is "partial 16S ribosomal RNA". It matches the Rfam family "Bacterial small subunit ribosomal RNA", at positions 28 to 507 of the family's 1533-position model. The record is from RNAcentral.
GACGAACGCUGGCGGCGUGCUUAACACAUGCAAGUCGAACGGAAAGGCCCUGCUCUUGUGGGGUGCUCGAGUGGCGAACGUGUGAGUAACACGUGAGUAACCUGCCCUUGACUUUGGGAUAACUUCAGGAAACUGGGGCUAAUACCGGAUAGGAGCUCCUGCUGCAUGGUGGGGGUUGGAAAGUUUCGGCGGUUGGGGAUGGACUCGCGGCUUAUCAGCUUGUUGGUGGGGUAGUGGCUUACCAAGGCUUUGACGGGUAGCCGGCCUGAGAGGGUGACCGGCCACAUUGGGACUGAGAUACGGCCCAGACUCCUACGGGAGGCAGCAGUGGGGAAUAUUGCACAAUGGGCGGAAGCCUGAUGCAGCAACGCCGCGUGCGGGAUGACGGCCUUCGGGUUGUAGACCGCUUUCGCCUGUGACGAAGCGUGAGUGACGGUAAUGGGUAAAGAAGCACCGGCUAACUACGUG